UACGUAGGGGGCUAGCGUUGUCCGGAAUCAUUGGGCGUAAAGAGCGCGUAGGCGGCUGGAUUAGUCCGGUGUGAAAUCCACAGGCUUAACCUGUGAAUGCCGCUGGAAACUGUCUGGCUAGAGUCCGGAAGGGGCGAGUGGAAUUCCUGGUGUAGCGGUGAAAUGCGCAGAUAUCAGGAGGAACACCAAUGGCGAAGGCAGCUCGCUGGGACGGUACUGACGCUGAGGAGCGAAAGCGUGGGGAGCAAACAGG
This 253-nucleotide ribosomal RNA is filed under the name uncultured bacterium. RNAcentral describes it as "partial 16S ribosomal RNA". It matches the Rfam family "Bacterial small subunit ribosomal RNA", at positions 524 to 776 of the family's 1533-position model. The record is from RNAcentral.